GAGUUUGCACUGGGAAACUCUCACUUUUAAAACCAUCGGAUCUCCUGAGACUUUUUCGCCAUCACAAGAACAGCACAGGAAAGACUUGCCCCCAUGAUUCAAUUACCUCCCACUGGCUCCCUCCCGCAACAAGUGGGAAUUCAAGAUGAAAUUUGGGUGGGGACACAGCCAAACCAUAUCAAAUGUUUUAUGCUAACUGAAAAAAAAAAAAAAAAAAAAAAAAACCGAUUCAAAAGGCUAUAUCCUAUGCGAUUCUAUUUAUGUGACAAUUGGGAAAAGUCCAAAAUUUAAGAACCAAAUACAGAUCAGUGGUUGCCUGGUGCUGGGAUUAGGGAAGGCCUUCACUAAAUUCACAGGGAAUUUUGGGGGGCUGAUGGAACUGUUCUAUGUCUCAAUUAUAGUGAUAGUUAUAUUACUGCAUACAUUUGUCAAAACUCAUAGAAUUGUACACUAAAAAGUGUGAAUUUACUGCAUAUAAAUUUUAUCUAAGUGAUUCUGAUAUUAAAAUUUAUUACAAGAUAAAGCUAAUUAUACAAGACCAAAAUGUUUAAAAAGCAGGGUUUUUAAAUAUGACCAUACGAACGAGAAAUGUAAGGGUACUAAUAAAGGGGGCACAUUUUCUUACUAAAUCUCAGGAUAUGCUAUAUUACAUAAUUCUUAUCGUCACUACAUUUUACAAAGCAAUCUCAAACAGUAUAUUUUUAUUUUCACAAUGGCACACUAAUAUAAGCUAGGAUAGUUUACUUAAAAUACAUUCUCCCCUUAAAUAUGACACCAAAAGCACAGGAAACCAAAUAAAUAUUAGAUAAACUGGACUUCAUCAAAAUUUAAAACUUUUCUGCCUUUAGAGUACCAUAAAGAAAGUGAAAGACAACCCACUGUAUGGGAAAACUAUUUGCAAAUCAUAUAUCUGAUAAGGGACUUGUAUCUAAACACAUAAAGAACUUUAAAGUUCUUAUUAUUCAGUAAUUUUUUCAAAUCCAAUUUAAAAAACGGGCAAAGACCUUAACAGACAUUUCUGCCAAGAAAAUAUACAAAUGCCAAUAAGCACAUGAAAAGAUGUUCAACAUCAUUAGUUAUUAGGGAAAUGCAAAUCAAAACCACAAUGAGGUAACCCUUUUAUACUUGCAGUAUGGCUAUAAUCAAAAAGAUAAUCUAGUAGAUGUUGGUGAGGAUGUGUAGAAAUCAGGACCUUCAUGCACUACUGGUAGGAAUGUAAAAUGGUACAGGCAAUUUGGAAAACAGUCAGCAAUUCCUCAAAAGGUCAACAUAGGAUUUCCAUAUGACCCAGCAAUUCCAUUACUGGCUAUAUAACCAAGAGAAAUAAAAACAUAUGUGCACACAAAAACUUAUACAUGAAUAUUCAAAGUAUUUAAAAUUGCCAGACAGUAGAAACAACCCAAAUAACCCAAAGCUACCAAUUGAUAAACAGAUAAAUGUUAUAUCCAUAUAACAGAAUGUUACUUGCCAAUAAAAAGAAAUAAAAUACUGAUAGGGGCUGCAACAUGGAUGAACCUUGAAAAUAUCUUAAGUAAAAGUCAGUCACAAAAGACCACAUAUUAUAUGAUUCCAUGUAUAUGAGAUUUCCAAAAUAGACAAAUUUAUUGAGACAUAAAAUAGAAUAGUGGUUGCCUAGGGCUGUAAGGGAUUGAGGGGAGCAGGGUCAGGGUGUGGUGGCUAAAGGGUAUGAAGUAUCUUUUAGGGAUUAUGAAAAUGGUUGUGGUGAUAGUUGCACAAUUCUAUGAAUAUACCAAAAGCCAUUGAAUUGUAUACUUUAAAAGGGUGAAUUACAUCUCAAUAAAGUUGUUAAAAAAUAUUCUCUGUAAGGGGAAAGAGUUUUCAGUAAACACUAAUAAAAUAACUGAACAGUCAAAAUGGCAUCUAUACAAAUGUGUAACCUUAAUAAUUUUAUUGUAUCUUUGGCAUUAAGUUAGGAAAAAUACCAAAAUAAUUACCCUUUCUACUGAAGACAACUGUUGCUGUAAUCCAUCACACUUUUUGUUUGCUUCUUCGAAAAGAGUCUUGUAUUUUUCUACUUGAGACUGUUGCAUAUUAAUUGUUCGCUGCUGUCUCAUAAAAUCUUCUUCAAAAUUUUUUACUUGAGACUUUAAAUUCUGAAUUUCAUCCUCCUAUAGUUAUGAAGUUAUAGAUUAUGUGAAAAAAUAUGUAAGAUUUGUUAUCAAAACAAAGCAGAAAAAAAGAAGUUUCAUAUGUUCUUUGAUAUUUAUACACAUUUCAUGAAAAACAAAUUACAGUCUAUUUUUAUCUUCAAAACUGGAAGUCAAAUGUUUUAUUUGCAUUUAAUAGCUUACACUACAUUUGUAAGACUAAUAUAGAGAAUUCUAAUUGUAACAAGAAUUUAGGAUAUUUCAGCUCUGUGAAAAUUCAACAUCUCAGAAUAAAGUUCAGUACUUAUAUACAAUUCUUGAAUUCAAAAUUUAACUAUGAUUUAUAUCUAAAUAAAGUAAUUC
RNAcentral lists this long non-coding RNA (2471 nucleotides) under Pongo abelii (Sumatran orangutan). RNAcentral's name for it is "lincRNA". The record is from RNAcentral. Lineage: Eukaryota; Metazoa; Chordata; Mammalia; Primates; Hominidae.